UGUGUAAAAUAUUUAAAAAAUAUUUUAUUUACGUGGCUCCGACGUGGCGCUGAUGUGUCAGCGAAUGUGAUGCACUCUCCCUCAUGAGAGUGGUAUUAUAUAUUAAGGGGUGAAAUUAAUUCACUUUAAAGAUGUUUAGGGGGUAAAUAAUUAUUCAUAAAGUUUAAAUGAUAAACUAAGUUGUCGGGACAAGUUCAGGGG
This 201-nucleotide long non-coding RNA is filed under the name Capsicum annuum. RNAcentral describes it as "long non-coding RNA (CANN_LNC020007)". Lineage: Eukaryota; Viridiplantae; Streptophyta; Magnoliopsida; Solanales; Solanaceae. The record is from RNAcentral.